AGCUGGCAUAGCUCAGUUGAUGGGAGCAUGAGACUCUUAAGCUCAGGGUUGUGGGUUCGAGUUCCACGCUGGACUA
This is a non-coding RNA of Podarcis lilfordi (Lilford's wall lizard), 76 nucleotides long. The record is from the annotation of a GenBank genome assembly. NCBI's taxonomy places the organism in Eukaryota, Metazoa, Chordata, Lepidosauria, Squamata, Lacertidae.